Molecule: ribosomal RNA, 398 nt
Filed under: uncultured bacterium
Lineage: Bacteria
Description: partial 16S ribosomal RNA
Rfam family: Bacterial small subunit ribosomal RNA
Source: RNAcentral
AUACGUAGGGGGCGAGCGUUGUCCGGAAUGAUUGGGCGUAAAGAGCUCGUAGGUGGUUUGUCGCGUCGUCUGUGAAAUUCCGGGGCUUAACUCCGGGCGUGCAGGCGAUACGGGCAUAACUUGAGUACUGUAGGGGAGACUGGAAUUCCUGGUGUAGCGGUGAAAUGCGCAGAUAUCAGGAGGAACACCGGUGGCGAAGGCGGGUCUCUGGGCAGUAACUGACGCUGAGGAGCGAAAGCAUGGGUAGCGAACAGGAUUAGAUACCCUGGUAGUCCAUGCCGUAAACGGUGGGCGCUAGGUGUAGGGGUCUUCCACGACUUCUGUGCCGUAGCUAACGCAUUAAGCGCCCCGCCUGGGGAGUACGGCCGCAAGGCUAAAACUUAAAGGAAUUGACGGGG